GCGGAGCAUGCGGAUUAAUUCGAUGCAACGCGAAGAACCUUACCAAGGCUUGACAUAUAGAGGAAAGGUGCAGAAAUGUACCCCCCGCAAGGGUCUCUAUACAGGUGGUGCAUGGUUGUCGUCAGCUCGUGUCGUGAGAUGUUGGGUUAAGUCCCGCAACGAGCGCAACCCUCGUCCUAUGUUGCCAGCACGUAAUGGUGGGAACUCAUGGGAUACUGCCGGGGUCAACUCGGAGGAAGGUGGGGAUGACGUCAAAUCAUCAUGCCCCUUAUGUCUUGGGCUUCACGCAUGCUACAAUGGCCGGUACAGAGGGCUGCAAUACCGCAAGGUGGAGCGAAUCCCACAAAGCCGGUCUCAGUUCGGAUUGAGGUCUGCAACUCGACCUCAUGAAGUUGGAGUCGCUAGUAAUCGUGAAUCAGCAACGUCACGGUGAAUACGUUCCCGGGCCUUGUACACACCGCCCGUCAAGUCAUGAAAGUCGGUAACACCCGAAGCCGGUGGCCUAACCUUUUGGAGGGAGCCGUCGAAGGUGGGAUCGGUGAUUAGGACU
Molecule: ribosomal RNA, 550 nt
Filed under: uncultured Actinomycetes bacterium
Lineage: Bacteria; Bacillati; Actinomycetota; Actinomycetes
Description: bacterial SSU rRNA
Rfam family: Bacterial small subunit ribosomal RNA
Source: RNAcentral